AAUUUCAGUACAACUGAAGACUGGUGGCUGAAGGCGAGGGAGGGAAUCCCGAAACCAAUGAGGAAGAACUUUGAUACAAUUAUCAUUCUUGUACACUGGAGGAUCUGGAAGGAAAGGAACGCGAGGAUAUUUGAUAAUGCGAGCUGCACAGCAGACAAAGUUCGGGACUUGGUAAUUGAGGAUAUAGGCAUUUGGAGAUCCGCGGGCUGUAUCAGCGACCUGACGGCCUGA
RNAcentral lists this ribosomal RNA (231 nucleotides) under Triticum aestivum (bread wheat). RNAcentral's name for it is "partial small subunit ribosomal RNA". Lineage: Eukaryota; Viridiplantae; Streptophyta; Magnoliopsida; Poales; Poaceae. The record is from RNAcentral.